AGCAGAUCACUCGAGGCAUGCUGAGACCAUGAAUUAACAUUUCUAUCACUUAUGAAAGUUACAACAUCUUCCGUUGAAAAUGGAAUAGAAGUUGGCAGUAUAUCAGAUCAAUCAAGGCACGCUGAGACACGAAUUCACAUUUCUACCACCAGGGAAAGUAUCAACAUCCUAUGUUGAAAAUGGACUAGAAGAUACUGAUAAUAAUAUUGGAUUUAUGCAAUGUGCGUGCAAUGGUUAUUGAAUAUAAUUGAUACUAAAUUAAUAGCUGUGAAACAAUUGAGAUUUGUUAAAUAUCUGAAUAAAAUAAUAGUAAACACCUUUA
Rhopalosiphum padi (bird cherry-oat aphid) is the source of this 322-nucleotide long non-coding RNA. RefSeq lists it as uncharacterized. The transcript is spliced from 2 exons. The record is from RefSeq and is a predicted model, not a curated record. NCBI's taxonomy places the organism in Eukaryota, Metazoa, Arthropoda, Insecta, Hemiptera, Aphididae.